This 440-nucleotide ribosomal RNA is filed under the name uncultured bacterium. RNAcentral's name for it is "partial 16S ribosomal RNA". It matches the Rfam family "Bacterial small subunit ribosomal RNA", at positions 338 to 795 of the family's 1533-position model. The record is from RNAcentral.
CCUACGGGUGGCAGCAGUAGGGAAUAUUGCUCAAUGGGGGAAACCCUGAAGCAGCAACGCCGCGUGGAGGAUGAAGGUUUUCGGAUUGUAAACUCCUUUUGUUAGAGAAGAUAAUGACGGUAUCUAACGAAUAAGCACCGGAUAACUCCGUGCCAGCAGCCGUGGUAAUACGGAGGGUGCAAGCGUUACUCGGAAUCACUGGGCGUAAAGGGCGCGUAGGAGGGAUAGCAAGUCAGAUGUGAAAUCCUAUGGCUUAACCAUAGAACUGCAUUUGAAACUGUUAUUCUAGAGUAUGGGAGAGGUAGGUGGAAUGCUUGGUGUAGCGGUGAAAUCCGUAGAGAUCAAGCGGAAUACUCAUUGCGAAGGCGACCUGCUAGAACAUAACUGACGCUGAUGCGCGAAAGCGUGGGGAGCAAACAGGAUUAGAUACCCUUGUAGUC